Molecule: ribosomal RNA, 460 nt
Filed under: uncultured bacterium
Lineage: Bacteria
Description: partial 16S ribosomal RNA
Rfam family: Bacterial small subunit ribosomal RNA
Source: RNAcentral
CCUACGGGGAGCAGCAGUGAGGAAUAUUGGUCAAUGGGAGAGAUCCUGAACCAGCCAAGCCGCGUGAGGGAAGACGGCCCUAUGGGUUGUAAACCUCUUUUGUCGGAGAACAAAACCCGGGACGUGUCCCGGACUGCGUGUAUCCGAAGAAAAAGCAUCGGCUAAAUACGUGCCAGCAGCCGCGGUAAUACGUAUGGAGCAAGCGUUAUCCGGAUUUACUGGGUGUAAAGGGAGCGCAGGCGGCCUUGCAAGUCUGAUGUGAAAUACCGGGGCUCAACCCCGGAGCUGCAUUGGAAACUGUGAGGCUGGAGUGUCGGAGAGGCAGGCGGAAUGCCUGGUGUAGCGGUGAAAUGCGUAGAUAGUAGGAGGAACACCAGUGGCGAAGGCGGCCUGCUGGACGAUGACUGACGCUGAGGCUCGAAAGCGUGGGGAGCAAACAGGAUUAGAUACCCGAGUAGUC